UAAGUCUGCAUUCCUGUGUCUGCCUGGAUUUUUUGUGCACUGUCGUGCUAUUGUACAGCUAGGGAACCUUAUAAAGGAUUGAAAGCAAGCUGAGGCCUAGGUGAAAGUUACCCUGGGAAUAACGGGGAACCUAUGAGUAAUGAUCUCCUUGAUACAAGACAAGAAUCUCAGUGUCCUCAACAACACCCUCCUGCAGCAGCCUCCUCAAACUCAGAGCACUGGGCCUGGAGAUGGGGAAAUACAACUCAGCAACAAUGGGAACAAACUACUGACAUGGUAACUCUAACGGAUCCAAAUCAUCAUAUGUGAAACAA
Long non-coding RNA from Heterocephalus glaber (naked mole-rat), 314 nucleotides. RefSeq lists it as uncharacterized. The record is from RefSeq and is a predicted model, not a curated record. Lineage: Eukaryota; Metazoa; Chordata; Mammalia; Rodentia; Bathyergidae.